ACGCACGCUGGCGGCGUGCUUCACACAUGCAAGUCGAACGGAAAGGCCCUGCUUUUGUGGGGUGCUCGAGUGGCGAACGGGUGAGUAACACGUGAGUAACCUGCCCUUGACUUUGGGAUAACUUCAGGAAACUGGGGCUAAUACCGGAUAGGAGCUCCUGCUGCAUGGUGGGGGUUGGAAAGUUUCGGCGGUUGGGGAUGGACUCGCGGCUUAUCAGCUUGUUGGUGGGGUAGUGGCUUACCAAGGCUUUGACGGGUAGCCGGCCUGAGAGGGUGACCGGCCACAUUGGGACUGAGAUACGGCCCAGACUCCUACGGGAGGCAGCAGUGGGGAAUAUUGCACAAUGGGCGGAAGCCUGAUGCAGCAACGCCGCGUGCGGGAUGACGGCCUUCGGGCUGUAAACCGCUUUCGCCUGUGACGAAGCGUGAGUGACGGUAAUGGGUAAAGAAGCACCGGCUAACUACGUG
RNAcentral lists this ribosomal RNA (467 nucleotides) under uncultured bacterium. Its description in RNAcentral is "partial 16S ribosomal RNA". It matches the Rfam family "Bacterial small subunit ribosomal RNA", at positions 29 to 507 of the family's 1533-position model. The record is from RNAcentral.